CUUUGUUAAAGUAAGAGAAGGCAGAACGUGUGUCACAUGAUGCAUGAACUAGAAGCUUACAGAAAAAUUUUCACUCACACUCGGGCCAUUUCAGAUUUCAGUGUCUUCCUGCUUGCUGGCAAUGUUUCCACCUUCAGCCGGGCUGGUGCUCCACACCUUGAAUCCCAGCAUGUGAAAGGAUCUCUGUGAAUUCAAGACCAGCCUGGUCAUCGUAAUUCCAGGCGCCGGGUUAUCUCCAUUCCUUUGAUCUCUGCCUAUCCCGUGGCUCAUUUUUGCCUGAGGAGCUGAAGCCAUUCAUAGGAAGGAUCCGAGUGUCCUGCGUGUAUUUCUUGCUGGCGAGGAAUACAGAGCGGGCGCGGGACAUAUGGUGCCGAAACCCGGGAAUUGUUAACAUCUCCAGCACCUCGGAGACCCCUUGGCUACAAGGCGGAUUCAGAACUGCAGGAUGGUAAAUUCGGAGAGGAUGAAGAGAAUCCCCUGUGGAUCCCAGAAAGAUUCAACCUAAAGAGCCUCUACAGACCUUCAAAAGUCGAAACUCCACCCUCUACCCCCGGGAGUUGAGAGCCGCUAUUGUUAUCCAGAUUAACUCCUGCCCUUGGCGGAGCGAUUGUCUCUACUUAAGGGGUGGGGGUAAUUGUUCGAUGCAGCCGUUUACAGAUUGCUGUUAUUUUUGGCGGGUCUGUGAGAAAAGGGGUGGAUAUAAUUGUUUGAUGCAGCCACCUGCGAAAUGCUGUUACUUCUUUGGCUGGCAUGUAAGCUCCAGGGCUCAAACCAAGAGAUCAUCCAAGCGCUUAUAUUUUGGCUAAGCGAUAGGCCGCCGGCCAGACAGCUCUUGCACACCCGGAGCCUAGGCUCACUGCACAGGGUAGAGUGUCUGGUUUGUGCAGCCCCAAAGAGGGAUGCUGAGCAUAGGCAUCGCACAGAGUUGCCUAUUAUACAGGCUUCUCUGGGAGGUACGUUGACCUGCAUAAGGGUUACCUGCCCCAGUCCCCCUUUCCCAGAAAAACGGCAGAGGACAGGUCGGGAGUACUUCGGGUCAAACUGACAGCCUGAUGGUGACUCUCGUACACAGUCUUAAUGUUUGAUUUUGGGAAGGUCAACCCCUGCCUCUAUCCCUCAACAUAUGGGUGACCUAUUUGCUUGUAAUAAUAUAAAGCCUUUUCAUUAAUUAAUAAAAAAAGGGUGAUAUGUAGGAAGCCGGUUCCUGCAUUAUAAUGCUGCCUGAAGACACCAAGGUGUGAAUUACUUCACAGGCGCCGGGUUAUCUCCAUUCCUUUGAUCUCUGCCUAUCCCGUGGCUCAUUUUUGCCUGAGGAGCUGAAGCCAUUCAUAGGGUAAUACGUCCCAGGCGGCUGGUCAGCCUUUUAUAAGGGAUGGUUUUCUUGGUUCAAUGUCUCUGCUCAGUCUCUGCUCAGUCUAAUGCAUUAAAGCUUGUCUGCAGAAGGAUCCGAGUGUCCUGCGUGUAUUUCUUGCUGGCGAGGAAUACAGAGCGGGCGCGGGAC
RNAcentral lists this long non-coding RNA (1501 nucleotides) under Cricetulus griseus (Chinese hamster). RNAcentral describes it as "lncRNA (ENSCGRG00015038665.1)". Lineage: Eukaryota; Metazoa; Chordata; Mammalia; Rodentia; Cricetidae. The record is from RNAcentral.